GAUUGAAUAGAAAAUAAAAAUAUCGUAAAGAUAGAAGAAAAAGAAAAUUAUAUCCUGCUGUGAAAUAAGUUAUAUAAUGAGAGGAGUGAUUGUUUAAACUAAAAUAGUUUGUACGUCCAGCAUCAACUUACGGUCUUCAGGAGGCCAUUCCAAGCGUUUCCAAGUACGAACUGCGCGCUCAACCGGGUCCAACUCAAAAACCCUUGCACGACGAACGUAGCCACCAUGUCCUCCAUAUCCGCCAAACCCAGCACCUCCAGCAAAGCAAAAGUAUGUGUUAUAAUCUGGAUGGAUUCCACAGAAAUCAUUUACAUGGUCAUGUCCUGCAAUAGCAAGAGGAAUACGUAAACUUUUCAAAGCUUUCGCAGUAUUUGGAUCACAAAUGGAAUAAGAACAGGGCUCUCGAAAUGCACCAACAAGGUCUUCAGUCUCGCAAAACUCCUUCAGAGGGAUAUGCAAUACAGCCAUUUGAAUGGGCUCGUACUUGAAAUCCGCAACUUUACUAGAAAGCCACUCCAGUUGAUCCUCGGUAAUAGCAUCGUAUCCAGGGCAUAAUCUUCGAUUUGAAGUAUCUCCCUUUGUAUCUAAAACGUAAAUGGCAAACUUUCGGGGACUAUGUAAAACAAAGUUACCAACACCAGAGACAUUUCCAAUCAAACCCAUACUACCAGGAAUCUGACUCAAAAUUUUGGCAAGCUCUUCCCUCGAUAAAUCUCCCAAAUCAUCGUGAUUUCCGAAAUUUACAGCAAAUGGGACGUUGUAAUCAACAAAAGGGGACACCGCUUUCAUCAAAGAGCUUCUAGCGUCGCGUGACGUGUCGCCGUUAAUUAAGUCCCCAGUCAAAAGGACAAAGUCCGGUUCCUCUAACUGUAAUAAUUCAUUCACGAAAGCAGUAGUUUUUGCAUCGGCCAUACAAUCCUCUGCAGUCUCAUACGGAUAAGGAUCGCGACACGGUCUGUCAGAAUUUGAAUAGUGCAAAUCAGAAAGCUGAAGAAUCUUAAUUGUCUUUUUUUCUUCGUCAUCAUAAGUAAGGGUUACGGAUGAAAGCUCCUUUCUCUUAAGCGCUUCAAUAGAUGGCGUCGGAGGAGUUUCACAAGGUCUUUGCGUCAAUAGGACCGGCUGUCCUAAAUAAAUAAAGUCAUUUAGAACAGCAGACCAACCCUCUCGUAAUUCAACAACAUCCUCACCCAACAAUGUAUUAAAUUCGCAAAUAUCACCAUCCGUUCCAUAACGAAUUUGAAUACCGUGCUUGUUACGCUUUUCCAGCUGUCGAUCAACAUAUACCUGUUCAACUAAGACAGUCUCCCCAGGAAUAUACAGUGCUGGUCGUUUCACGUAAAGGUAGGCACGCUUCCAAGGAAUUCGGGAACGGUACAGAUUCCGACUAGUACGGGCCCAUUUCCAAAAUUCCAAAACGGGACGACAAAAGGGAGAAAAGGAAAAGCACUCGACCAGCCUUAUAUCUUCGAUUGGAGUGUUCAGUGAGAAGGGUCCCGACUUUGAGUCAGUGAUUUCAAUGGUGUUGAGCGAAUAAUCAACAGUCAAUAAUGCUAUGAAAGCCGCAACUAUGAAGAUUGCCCUUUUACGAAGGAAAUGAAUAAUGUUUCUCUUUGGUAGCAUCAUUUUGCUUAGUCUUUGAACACGAGAUUAGUAAUUGUAGGAAUGUAUUUUUAACCGAAAAACGUCCCGCGAGAACUUUUUCUUUUACGGAUCAAAUAUUUGACAAAGAAAAGCAAUAUUUAUAUAACAAAUGUGCUUCAAAUUAAAAGUUUUUAUGAAAAACCUGUAGAAUUGACUGAAUUCAUGAAAGCAAAAGGAUUAUGUGGAUAUUACGGUAAUGUUUACAUGGUAGAAGAAGGCUUUUCAAAUUAAGAUUCGAAUGCGGAGCACAAGAACGAAUCCGUUAUCUAUGCCUAGCGUAGUGCAGAAUACUCACUUAAGAAUCGCUUUCAAGAAACUUGCUUAUCAUAAUACUUGAAGUUGGAAAGAGCUCGGUAUGUGAAGAGAUGAGCUUAACGUAGUUUAGCAGGUUCUCAGUUAUUCUGAAUGUCUAUUAAAAUUCAGCAUUAUAGCGACUUUUCUUGUGAGUGAAAACAAACGUUAAAGCUAGAUGGCAUUUCGGAAGAAGAAAAUUGCAUGGAUAAGCUCUCAGAUACUCAUUGACAUUAAUAUUUUCAUCUCACUUAUUUUUUAAUUUCUAGCGGUGAGUGUUUAUAUGAGAGGUACGGCAGCUCUCAAAAUCUUAACAACCAUUUUGGAUUAUAUUUUAAGCUCUAACUUUUUGUUAAGUAUUAUUUUCUGAGAAAUUCUGCUUCAUACUGUAGUGGUACGAGAAAACUCGCAAAUGAAAACGAAUAUUUCAAGGUACUAUAAAUCUCGCUUAAUUCAAGCUUAAUUUGGCCGACAUUUCACAUGUUGUGGCCCAUGAAACAUGUGUCAAUAGUUGUAUAACUGUGUAAGGGUACUAUUGCGUUAGUUUCUUACCUGAUCUGAAAAGUUUUAAGCUGCCAGCAAGUCGAUAUAUAUAGAGGGUUUUGCGGAUCUUGUUUUUUUCCGGCAUAAUUAUUGUGCCGAACCACUAAGCCGAACCAAAGAGUAAUUAUCAUAACGCAAACUCUUUCAAAAUAAAGAACCCAUUUAUUCUUCAACUCAAAGUUCAAGCAGAAUACCUUGAAGCUUGAUAAUUAACAAAUUUCCAAGCUGAGACUCAUUCUUCGUUUAACUAAUCUCACAUGAUGUUUUCCUCAUUAUUUUGGUUUUGCAUAUUUUUUUGAAAACUCAUUAAGUGUAAGCUACGCAGUUUGGUAUCUGAUUUAAGGAUACGUAGAACUGCGGUGAGUUUUCCUUGUGAUCUAUUAUAUUACGAUACACAGGUUGUAUAAGUAGCAACUGAGUAUAGGUAUUGUAUUAACUGGGUUAUAAUGUUACCUAUCACUAA
RNAcentral lists this long non-coding RNA (2938 nucleotides) under Schizosaccharomyces pombe (fission yeast). Lineage: Eukaryota; Fungi; Ascomycota; Schizosaccharomycetes; Schizosaccharomycetales; Schizosaccharomycetaceae. The record is from RNAcentral.